Pecten maximus is the source of this 1213-nucleotide long non-coding RNA. RefSeq lists it as uncharacterized. The record is from RefSeq and is a predicted model, not a curated record. Lineage: Eukaryota; Metazoa; Mollusca; Bivalvia; Pectinida; Pectinidae. The transcript has 3 exons.
AGUCAAAAGGAAACCGAGGGAAAACGUGCAAGAAUCGUUUUGAUGCUCAAAACAACACAUUUUGCUGCUUUAAUCUUGUGCUUCCCUAUACGACAGUUUAGCUUCCACGGUGGCAUUCAACGCGCUGUGAUUAAUACUGAAGGAAUAUCAUUCAGUGUUGUACCAUGGAUACAGACAUCCUUAAGCAGCAGGAACACCGGACAUUACUACGAGAGCGCUUCCUUCGUGUGAUGGCUGCCACGGUCAGACAAGAUGCCUUCAUUAAAAUGCAGGAGAAGACAAAUGUGUCCUGUAAACUUGGUCCGGUGGACUUUGACAUCCAGCAUAUCCAGGUCACUGAUCUCCGGACUCCAAUGGGAACGGUUCCAAAUGCAAUCCUGCGGACCUCGGAUAUCCUUGGAAUCCGUAUAGACAACCUCGAGCUGGACUGUUUAUGAUCAAAGUUGCUGUAAUGGAAUAGAUGAAUACCUGGAUCCAACAGUAUAAACUACAGCCAUGGUGACUUGUACAACAGACAGGUUCUGUCGAAGUGAAGAUUACGGUCAUAUGAUCAUGAACUACAGCCAUGGUGACUUGUACAACAGACAGAUUCUGUCGGAGUGAAGAUUACGGUCAUAUGAACUACAGCCAUGGUGACUUGUACAACAGACAGAUUCUGUCGGAGUGAAGAUUACAGUCAUAUGAGUUACAGCCAUGGUGACUUGUACAACAGACAGAUUCUGACGGAGUGAACUACAGCGAUAUGGUCAUGUGAACUACAGUGAUGGUCACUGGUACAAGAUAGGUGUAGCCAGAGUGUUUGUACAGCGAAAACAAAUUAACAAAUACUAAAUAAUAAAGAUGUACAACUAGAGCUAGGAUGUUUUCUUUGUGUAGUAUGAUUGUAUGGACGAGAGUUGCUCGUUGAUGAAAUAAGGACAAACUUUGUGGACUUAACUUCACUUUUGAAUACCUGUAUUUUAGACUUUCAGACAAAUUAACAUUUCAGUGAUAUGCAAAUGAUUUUCUUUAUAUUUUACAUGGUAUUCCAUCCAUCUUAUGUAGUUUUCUGUUUUCUUGAUAUCCUUUUUUCAAUUUCUCAAGGUAUCCAUUGGAUCCUGACAAAUCUUUCUUCACGUGUUCGCCUCAAUGGUGUAUGAAUAAUUGUAAUAUCUUCUUUGUCCAUGUUCAGGUGGUUUUGAUAUUAAAAUGUGACAUUUUCCCAUCUACAUUG